RNAcentral lists this long non-coding RNA (404 nucleotides) under Carica papaya (papaya). Its description in RNAcentral is "long non-coding RNA (CPAP_LNC003587)". Lineage: Eukaryota; Viridiplantae; Streptophyta; Magnoliopsida; Brassicales; Caricaceae. The record is from RNAcentral.
CUAUCUUCUUCGAUAUUAGCACUUAUCAUGGCUAUCUCCAUCUCUUUGUAGUAGUCUUCUACACUUUUGUUCCCUUGUAUAAGGCCUUGUAAUUUUUGAUGUAAAUCCCUAUAGUAGUGAGUAUGAACAAAGUACCUUUUCAUGAUAGCCUUCAUUUCGGCCCAAGUGGAAAUAGGUCUCUCUCUAUUUCUCCUUUUACUUGUGAUGAGUUGAUCCCGCCACACAAUAGCAUACUCUCCAAACUCCACGGUUGCAAGCUUUAUCUUUUCUCCUCCGAAGAAUUGUGGCACUAAAAAAUAAGCUCCACCUUGCACUCCCAUUCAAGAUAAGCAUUCGGAUCAUUCUUGCCUAGAAACGAUGGGAUUUUCAUUUUGAUGCUCCCAAUAUUUUUAUUAAGAUCCUUU